CGUAGGGUGCAAGCGUUAAUCGGAAUUACUGGGCGUAAAGCGUGCGCAGGCGGUUUUGUAAGACAGAUGUGAAAUCCCCGGGCUCAACCUGGGACCUGCAUUUGUGACUGCAAGGCUAGAGUACGGUAGAGGGGGAUGGAAUUCCGCGUGUAGCAGUGAAAUGCGUAGAUAUGCGGAGGAACACCGAUGGCGAAGGCAAUCCCCUGGACCUGUACUGACGCUCAUGCACGAAAGCGUGGGGAGCAAACAGGAUUAGAUACCCUGGUAGUCCACGCCCUAAACGAUGUCAACUGGUUGUUGGGUCUUUACUGACUCAGUAACGAAGCUAACGCGUGAAGUUGACCGCCUGGGGAGUACGGCCGCAAGGUUG
This 370-nucleotide ribosomal RNA is filed under the name uncultured organism. RNAcentral's name for it is "bacterial SSU rRNA". It matches the Rfam family "Bacterial small subunit ribosomal RNA", at positions 526 to 896 of the family's 1533-position model. The record is from RNAcentral.